GAUGAACGCUGGCGGCGUGCUUAACACAUGCAAGUCGAACGGAAAGGCCCAAGCUUGCUUGGGUACUCGAAUGGCGAACGGGUGAGUAACACGUGGGUGAUCUGCCCUGCACUUCGGGAUAAGCCUGGGAAACUGGGUCUAAUACCGGAUAGGACCACAUUUUGGAUGGUGUGGUGGAAAGUUUUUCGGUGUGGGAUGAGCUCGCGGCCUAUCAGCUUGUUGGUGGGGUAAUGGCCUACCAAGGCGUCGACGGGUAGCCGGCCUGAGAGGGUGUACGGCCACAUUGGGACUGAGAUACGGCCCAGACUCCUACGGGAGGCAGCAGUGGGGAAUAUUGCACAAUGGGCGCAAGCCUGAUGCAGCGACGCCGCGUGGGGGAUGACGGCCUUCGGGUUGUAAACUCCUUUCGCUAGGGACGAAGCGUUAUGUGACGGUACCUGGAGAAGAAGCACCGGCUAACUACGUG
Molecule: ribosomal RNA, 466 nt
Filed under: uncultured bacterium
Lineage: Bacteria
Description: partial 16S ribosomal RNA
Rfam family: Bacterial small subunit ribosomal RNA
Source: RNAcentral